This 254-nucleotide ribosomal RNA is filed under the name uncultured bacterium. RNAcentral's name for it is "partial 16S ribosomal RNA". It matches the Rfam family "Bacterial small subunit ribosomal RNA", at positions 524 to 776 of the family's 1533-position model. The record is from RNAcentral.
UACGUAGGGUCCAAGCGUUAUCCGGAAUCACUGGGCGUAAAGCGUGCGUAGGCGGGUAUUUAAGUGAGACGUGAAAUCUUGGGGCUCAACCCCAUAGACUGUAUCUCAUACUGGAUACCUUGAGGACGGCAGAGGCAAGUGGAAUUACUGGUGUAGCAGUGAAAUGCGUAGAUAUCAGUAGGAACACCAAUGGCGAAGGCAGCUUGCUGGGCCGUUUCUGACGCUAAGGCACGAAAGCGUGGGGAGCGAACAGG